UGACAAAUCAUAUUAUAUAUGAAAUCCUCUCAGCCAAAUCAUUCUAUAAACAAAAAUGAGGGUAAAAGAUUGACUCAAGUUUGACACAAAUAAUAGACAAGAUGAAAACUAAUAUUAACUAAAGACCACAUAUGUUUUCCUGAUGAUUGCAAUGUAAGGAUGGCUUUCAUGAACCAUCUGGUUUGGACUAGGACUGCAGAGUUGCCUGCGAAGUUGCUUGAGCCCUCUAGAGAAAAUCAAGCAGAUUAUCCGUCUCCUUUUACUUCUUUGCCCAGACUUCAUUCUUCUCUUGUUGGAUCUUCUUUAGAGCUUCCAAUUCUUCUUGUUGCUUCUUUUGUAUCUCUUCAAAUGCUCUCUCUCAUGCUUCAAGUCUUGCGGCUAACUCCUCCCAAUGCCUAUAAAUGAAAAACACAACAACCUUGCAUCAUAAUGAGAUGAAAACUAACAAGAUAACAUGCAUAACCUAGAGCUAGAGGUAUAAUGGUUAAAGUACAUGUAAUCAAUGCACCCCUUAGCUUAGCAUACACAUCACACAUGCGUUUAUGUUCCGCGAGGAAUGCCCUCCUUUUCGUCUCACUCUCCCAAACUAGUGGCAUGAUUGUAGUACCUAAACCUGCAAGAUGAAAAAGAGUGGAACUAAAUGAAUUGCAAAAUACUUACUAGCAUGUGCCAUAAAACUAAUUAAAUGAAUUCCACCUCAAGUCGUUUGGAAUUGGACCUUAGACAAUGCAACAAUUUUUCAUGCGCAUACGAACUUUCCUAAAACAAACAAGAAUGUAAUAAAGUAGCAAAAUUAGCACGCAAAUACAUGUUUGUCUUUGCAUUGAUGGUAAAAAUUAACAAAACAGGUUCUGUAACGUAGUACUUUCAAUAAGCAGCACUAUUAAUAGGCAUUUCACGUAAUAUUGUAUUAACUAAAAAUGAAGAUUUUUCAAUGCUAGAAGACGCAGCCAGCAAGCCUAUGAAAACAAGAUGAGAAAAUUCAGAAGAGAAAAAUGGCAAAACCUAAGAUUACUAUAGAUGAUACACAAGUGCUUGACUAGAAAGAUUACUUACAAAAACUUGCCAAUAAUGGUAGCAAAGAUUUCCUAGUACAUUACGAAGCUAUUUACUCAAUCAAGCAAUUUAAUUUGAUGGCAAUGUGAUAAAAUAUAAUAUAAGAAACAAGGACUCCACAAAUAUUAGAGCAUCUCUGAGUGCAAUGCUGGACCAAAUCCCGUCCACGCCCUCCUCCACCUUCAGC
RNAcentral lists this long non-coding RNA (1243 nucleotides) under Triticum aestivum (bread wheat). Its description in RNAcentral is "long non-coding RNA (TAES_LNC008700)". Lineage: Eukaryota; Viridiplantae; Streptophyta; Magnoliopsida; Poales; Poaceae. The record is from RNAcentral.